UGUUAGCCAAGAUGGUCUAGAUCUCUUGACCUCGUGAUCCUCCCACCCACAGUGCUGGGAUUACAGGAGUAAGCCACUGCGCCCGACCGGCCACAUUUGUUUUUUUUUUUUUUUAACUGGGAGAAGAAAGGGUUGAGGCCCUGGGGUUUAAGGAGUUGAGUGCAUAUCCUACAAGCACCUGUGAAGACUAGUCUGGAGUGGGAAGGCCCCAUGGAUCCGGGGUAAACAGAGAAAUCUUUAGGUGACAGCAUUUACCAGUUCCUGGAAUUAGCCAAAAUCAACAAGAAGCCAAAGGACAGGAGAACUUCUUGAUGCAGUACAUAGACAUCAGCUUCCCAUGUCACCAAGCCGAAUGGUAAAGAAGUAACCUGGAUCUAAAGGAACACAAGGAACAGAUUCAGCAUCCCAGGAGGAAAUGGGGAAGGGAGACAUCUAGAAAUGUCACUAAAGACAAAAGAUUAUACUCACCCUGUUUUCCGCAUGAAGGAAUACAGUCUCACAAAUAAACCAUCGCUUUUUGAGAUGUGGCAGAGAAACAGCAUUCUCAGUCUACCACUCCCUCAGAGGACUCCAGGAGGAUGUGGAAUUGAUGCAUCAUCCCAGAAGCACUCUAAAGACUACCCAGCAGGACUUUCCAACAGCCAGAGUGGACAUCCUAUAAAGCCUCGCUUCCCAUCUGGGUCACAAAAAGAUGGAAGAGACUCAGUGCUUUCUGAAAAACUGUGCAGCUCCUGAAAUCCGUCCAGGAUCCUGCAUCCUCUCUCCCAUCUGGAAUCAUCAGCCCAGUGAUUUUUCCGAGCAUCACAUUGUUUCUCAACUAUGAAUCCUUCAGAUUUUCUCUUCCCUCGUUGAACUGGAAGGCAAACGUUCACCAUUUUUUGUAUACCAUGCUGUUCUAGAUGCUGAAGCUUAUGUUUAAGGUAACUUUCAAUUUUUCCAAAUGAAAUUAUCAAAGCAGCACUCUCCUGAUGCUCAAAAAUCUC
Non-coding RNA from Macaca mulatta (Rhesus monkey), 983 nucleotides. Lineage: Eukaryota; Metazoa; Chordata; Mammalia; Primates; Cercopithecidae. The record is from RefSeq and is a predicted model, not a curated record.